This 425-nucleotide ribosomal RNA is filed under the name uncultured bacterium. RNAcentral describes it as "partial 16S ribosomal RNA". It matches the Rfam family "Bacterial small subunit ribosomal RNA", at positions 354 to 796 of the family's 1533-position model. The record is from RNAcentral.
GUGGGGAAUAUUGGACAAUGGGCGCAAGCCUGAUCCAGCCAUGCCGCGUGAGUGAUGAAGGCCUUAGGGUUGUAAAGCUCUUUCAGUGGGGACGAUAAUGACGGUACCCACAGAAGAAGCCCCGGCUAACUUCGUGCCAGCAGCCGCGGUAAUACGAAGGGGGCUAGCGUUGUUCGGAUUUACUGGGCGUAAAGCGCACGUAGGCGGAUCGUUAAGUCGGGGGUGAAAUCCCGGGGCUCAACCCCGGAACUGCCUUUGAUACUGGGUGUCUGGAGUAUGGAAGAGGUAAGUGGAAUUCCGAGUGUAGAGGUGAAAUUCGUAGAUAUUCGGAGGAACACCAGUGGCGAAGGCGGCUUACUGGUCCAUUACUGACGCUGAGGUGCGAAAGCGUGGGGAGCAAACAGGAUUAGAAACCCUGGUAGUCC